AAGAACAUAUUUUGGUCUUCUUUCUUUUAAAAUUGGGCCAAUUCCUAAAGGCACAAAUUAAUUUUUUUACCCGUAACCUAAUUUUCAUACCAAUACUCAAAUACUCAUUACCCUUUACCCUUCCUCCUACUUAUAAAAACACACCUAAAAACAUCUAAAGAAGGGAUCAGAUCCUUCAACUAGAGAGCAAAACGGCGCAUUUGGAAAAAAAAAACUUCUCCUCCAUUUUUGAUCAAAAAGCAGAUCCCUCACUCUCUCCUUCUUCAUUUUCCUCAAAACAACAGAGAAUAGACCCCUCCCAUUCGAAGAAACAGGGCAGCGGCGACCCCUAUUUCUCUUCUCCUUCAUUUUCUCGCUGGUAUCAGUCAAGAACCAAACAAAUGACCUUCCAUUGUUGUCCAACGAAACAGAGCAAACCCAACUGAAAUAGUAAAAGAACAACGAUAAAUGGCUCUGAAAAAGGAUAAUAGCAUGGUUAACUUUCUAGGUUCGAAGCUCUAUUGAUUGUUGUUCGCUUCUGCUGAUUUUGCUGUUGUAUUGUUGAUUUGCGGAACUUCAUUUCCGGGUAUGAUUAUUCGUCUUUGAGCUACUGUUUCAACUCGAUUCGGAAUGGUAAAAAAAUUUAAUUAUUGAAUUUGUGAAACUAUUGAACUUUGUAACGUGACUCAAAUUCGAUGUCAAUCCGAUUUGGUAUUUUAUGUUCUCGCUAUCUAUGUUGUUUUUUGGUUCUUUUUGUUGUUUGAGGAUUUUGAAGGAAAAUGCCGUAGGUUCGAUAUUCAAAUUGUUAAAUCUAGC
RNAcentral lists this long non-coding RNA (795 nucleotides) under Nicotiana benthamiana. RNAcentral's name for it is "long non-coding RNA (NBEN_LNC038288)". Lineage: Eukaryota; Viridiplantae; Streptophyta; Magnoliopsida; Solanales; Solanaceae. The record is from RNAcentral.